Molecule: long non-coding RNA, 527 nt
Organism: Haliotis rufescens (red abalone)
Lineage: Eukaryota; Metazoa; Mollusca; Gastropoda; Lepetellida; Haliotidae
Exons: 3
Source: RefSeq, a predicted model, not a curated record
GAAGAUGGGCUAGUUUAACGUGUAAAGGAUACGACAGGUAUUGCAAAAGCUCCAGUUACCUCCGCAGAUACUACAUUAGAUUUAUGUGUAAACUGACUGAAAACUUCUAUUCUAACUGCUGUCAAGUCGAUCCAGUGACAGAGCCAAUCACAACACCUGAACCAACGACAACGACAACAGAGGUACCUACGACCGAGCCGCCAACAAAACCACCGACCACUGCGGCUACAACCGACGCCCCUACAACCGAGCUGCCUACAAUCCCACCGACCACUCCGUCUGGACCAACUCUGCCAGAAGUCGCGGACAAAACUUUCUUAACCGCAUGUACACAACGAUGUGUCCGCAACGACCUAGUGGAUUCACUGUGUGGUACUGGGACGCUGGUCGAGGAAUGUGACAAUCUUCAAGUUCCAGAGUUUGUGGGAUCGUAUACCUGCUGUUCAGGUUAAUACAGUGGAUGCCUCCACAUUUCCACUGGAUGCUUCACUCCAUCUUUUUUCCGUGAUAAUAAACUAAUUUCGCAG